Molecule: ribosomal RNA, 272 nt
Filed under: uncultured bacterium
Lineage: Bacteria
Description: partial small subunit ribosomal RNA
Rfam family: Bacterial small subunit ribosomal RNA
Source: RNAcentral
AGAAUCAACGCUGGCGGCGUGCCUAACACAUGCAAGUCGAACGCGAAAGUGGAGCAAUCCAUAAGUAGAGUGGCGAACGGGUGAGUAACACGUGGGUGACCUACCCUCGAGUGGGGGAUAACAUCCCGAAAGGGGUGCUAAUACCGCAUGACAUCCUGUCUUUGAACAGACGGACAUUAAAGCCGGGGAUCGCAAGACCUGGCGCUCGUGGAGGGGCCCGCGCCCGAUUAGCUAGUUGGUGAGGUAACGGCUCACCAAGGCUUCGAUCGGUA